CAGCCGCCACGGUAAUACGUAGGUCCCGAGCGUUGUCCGGAUUUAUUGGGCGUAAAGCGAGCGCAGGCGGUUAGAUAAGUCUGAAGUUAAAGGCUGUGGCUUAACCAUAGUACGCUUUGGAAACUGUUUAACUUGAGUGCAAGAGGGGAGAGUGGAAUUCCAUGUGUAGCGGUGAAAUGCGUAGAUAUAUGGAGGAACACCGGUGGCGAAAGCGGCUCUCUGGCUUGUAACUGACGCUGAGGCUCGAAAGCGUGGGGCGCAAACAGGAUUAGAUACCCCAGUAGUCCCUGUCUCUUAUACA
Molecule: ribosomal RNA, 301 nt
Filed under: uncultured bacterium
Lineage: Bacteria
Description: partial 16S ribosomal RNA
Rfam family: Bacterial small subunit ribosomal RNA
Source: RNAcentral